This 95-nucleotide transfer RNA is filed under the name Chelonia mydas (Green sea turtle). It matches the Rfam family "tRNA". Rfam says of the family: Transfer RNA (tRNA) molecules are approximately 80 nucleotides in length. Their secondary structure includes four short double-helical elements and three loops (D, anti-codon, and T loops). Further hydrogen bonds mediate the characteristic L-shaped molecular structure. tRNAs have two regions of fundamental functional importance: the anti-codon, which is responsible for specific mRNA codon recognition, and the 3' end, to which the tRNAs corresponding amino acid is attached (by aminoacyl-tRNA synthetases). tRNAs cope with the degeneracy of the genetic code in two manners: having more than one tRNA (with a specific anti-codon) for a particular amino acid; and 'wobble' base-pairing, i.e. permitting non-standard base-pairing at the 3rd anti-codon position. The record is from Rfam by way of RNAcentral. Lineage: Eukaryota; Metazoa; Chordata; Testudines; Cheloniidae.
GUUCCAGUAGCACAACUGGUUAGGGCACAGUACUUAUAGAGCACUUAUAGGGUGGAGUGUUGCUGGGGUUGUGAGUUCAAGUCUCACUUGGUGCA